This 319-nucleotide ribosomal RNA is filed under the name uncultured eukaryote. RNAcentral describes it as "partial 18S ribosomal RNA". It matches the Rfam family "Eukaryotic small subunit ribosomal RNA", at positions 1470 to 1796 of the family's 1831-position model. The record is from RNAcentral.
CCCUUAGAUGUUCUGGGCCGCACGCGCGCUACACUGAAUGGAUCAACGUGUUUUCCCUUCCCGAGAGGGACGGGUAACCCGCUGAACCCCAUUCGUGGUAGGGAUCGGAGCUUGCAAUUGUUCUCCGUGAACCAGGAAUUCCCAGUAAGCGCAAGUCAUCAGCUUGCAUUGAUUACGUCCCUGCCCUUUGUACACACCGCCCGUCGCACCUACCGAUUGAAUGGUCCGGUGAAAUCUCGGGACGGCGGCUUGGUCGCUUGCGUCCGACUGCUGAAACUUGAUUAAACCAUAUCAUUUAGAGGAAGGUGAAGUCGUAACA